GAAACAAAGACCCAGGAAGACUAACAUCACAGGAGACACAGCUAUCAAGAGGCAACAUUAUGGCUGAAGCUGGGGGUGGCUCAACUCUCAACACCGUUACACACCACCAACCUGUCUGGCCUUGCUGGGGCUGAGAGCAUCUCUGCUGGGCUGAGAGCAUCUCUGCUGGGCUGAGAGCUCCACAGUGACCUGGAAAGAAGCUGAUGUGGAAAUGAAGUUCAAAGCACCAAGUAACCAGCUUAAGCUGAAGAGAACCCAGGCCUCAUUGUCUGCCCAAUGGACAAAAGGGAGACGUAAAUAAACUUUUCAUUUCCCUUCCUGUUCAUUUAAUAUUGGUAAAUGUAACUUUCACACUGAACCAGAGACUUAGAAGUCAAUAAAUAUAAUUUACAAAGGUAAUCAUAGUGGAAAGGACUAUAAAACACUAACCUUUGAAGUUUAAUAUUUAUUAAGAAAACAAAAUCUACUUUGUGAGUCAAAAUGUAAUAGUUGGGCUAUAAUUCUUUUUUAGCUUGCCAAUAUGUCAUAUAGAGAGAGGACAUUUAGUUUUAGCGAUUUGUGAAGUUGCUUCUUCUUCCAUUAUGUUUGUGAGGUCCGUGCCCGCUCACAGGUCCUGCUGCAGCCCUUUCAUUUGCAUUGUUUAUAAUAUUCCAUUGUACGAGUGUAUCACAAUUCCUUCACUCCCUCCUCUGUGUUAGCCAUUGGCUUCUUUUCAGUUUGGAUCUGCAUAAUAUAGUGAAAGGAAACAGAAAGAUAAAGCAGAAGUAGUGAAGUUAGUUUCCCAGGCAGUAGGUAGGAGGUGUCUACAGGUGAAAGAAAGAUUUCUCUCACACCUUUUUAAACGUUUUUUUUUGUUUUUUUUUUUGCUUUUGAACCAUGUUAAUAUGUUACAUAGUCAAGCAAUAAAAGUAAUUUUAAAAAAUAAUAAAAUGUUAUAUCAACGGAAACAACUGAACCUAACUGCAUCAAUUUUUAAUACUCAGAAGAAAACUACUAAUGCAAAUAACUUUUAAACCAGUAUUCUGACUGUAUGCUCACUGGCGAUGUAUGCUAAGGAGAAAAAGAACUACAGCAAAAUACCCAUUGGUGUUUUGAUUGAGUGACAUGGCACUGAAUUUAUACACCUAUUUGAGGAGGCAUCUUUAAAAUAUCGUCUCCCUACAUAAAACCGCAGCAUAUCUAUUUAUUGAUGAUGUUUAAUAAAGUCUUAUAAUUUUGUCUUUAUGUGAGGCACACAUUUUAUUAGACUUAUGCAUGGCUAUUCAUACCUUUGGUGCUACUGUAAAUAGCAUCUUUUCUAUACAUUUUGUAUUUAUUACCAGCAUAUAGAAAUGCAAGAUAUUUUUGUACAUUGAUUAUCAAAAGUUUUCCAAACUGUCUUAUUCAUUCUAUUAAUUCUGUUAAUUUAUUUGCAGAUUAUUUGGGGUGCUCUGUUCAUAGUCAUAUUUCUGAUUUUUAUACCUUGUCUUCCUUCUUCCUCCGCUGCACUGACUAACUAGAACUCCCAGCGUGGUGUUCACAGCUAGUAAAUGAUAGUGGGCAUUCUGACCUGGUCCCUGAUCUCAGUGGGGAUGCUUUACCAUUAAAUGUGAUGUUUAUUUUGUGUGCCCUUUAUCACAUUAAG
Hipposideros armiger (great roundleaf bat) is the source of this 1624-nucleotide long non-coding RNA. RefSeq lists it as uncharacterized. The record is from RefSeq and is a predicted model, not a curated record. The transcript is spliced from 3 exons. Lineage: Eukaryota; Metazoa; Chordata; Mammalia; Chiroptera; Hipposideridae.